AAGUCGUAACAAGGUUUCCGUAGGUGAACCUGCGGAAGGAUCAUUAACAAAUAAUCCGAUAUCAUUAUUUCUUCAACCACUUGUGCAUUGUUGAAGUAUGCUUUGGUAGGGUGUUGAGGUGACUGUGGGCAGCACGGUCUCUCGAUUUGCCAGAGCUUUUACCAUUACUAAGCAAACAAGCAAACAAACAAACAAACAAACAAACAAACGUCUUAUAAAUCUGACUGAACUUCAUUUUACGAAUGAGAAAAUACAUACAACUUUUAACAAUGGAUCUCUUGGCUCUU
RNAcentral lists this unclassified non-coding RNA (287 nucleotides) under Basidiobolus sp. Its description in RNAcentral is "partial internal transcribed spacer region". The stretch from base 1 to 46 matches the Rfam family "Eukaryotic small subunit ribosomal RNA", at positions 1786 to 1831 of the family's 1831-position model. The record is from RNAcentral. Lineage: Eukaryota; Fungi; Basidiobolomycota; Basidiobolomycetes; Basidiobolales; Basidiobolaceae.